RNAcentral lists this ribosomal RNA (377 nucleotides) under uncultured bacterium. RNAcentral's name for it is "bacterial SSU rRNA". It matches the Rfam family "Bacterial small subunit ribosomal RNA", at positions 521 to 896 of the family's 1533-position model. The record is from RNAcentral.
UAAUACGGAGGGUGCAAGCGUUGUUAGGAAUUACUGGGCGUAAAGGGCGUGUAGGCGGAUCGAGUAGUUGGGUGUGAAAGCCCUGGGCUCAACCCAGGAAGUGCGCCCGAAACCAUCGAUCUUGAGUUCUGGAAGGGAGCGGGGAAUUCCCAGUGUAGAGGUGAAAUUCGUAGAUAUUGGGAGGAACACCGGUGCCGAAGGGGCCGCUCUGGACAGAUACUGACGCUGAGACGCGAAAGCGUGGGGAGCAAACAGGAUUAGAUACCCUGGUAGUCCACGCUGUAAACGAUGUGCACUAGGUGUCGGGGGUAUUGACCCCCCCGGUGCCGCCGCUAACGCAUUAAGUGCACCGCCUGGGGAGUACGGCCGCAAGGUUG